GCACUUUGACCAGGGAACGGGCUGUUGGAAUUAAUGUGGGUUAUGCCCAUAUUAUUUUCAAUUAAAUCAUAUAAAUUCAAAGGCUAUAUAAAUUGCUAGGUGCAAUAAAAUGGUGGUCUGAAUGUAUUUGAUGACUGAACUAGUAACAGUUACAUUAUGGUUGCGGUUACCAGUAACCCCCAUGCUAAAGGCAGAGGUUACUAGUGAAUAAUGGACACUUAUGUCGUCCAGGUUCAUCCUCUACACUUCACCUUCCAUAGGCUAUAAGAAGGAGUCCUUUUUCAGCCAUAUACACGAGUACGAACGCAUCUCAGCCUUCCCUGUUGAAUUGCCUUCUGAGUUCUUCCCGUCCCGGACCUCUGCGCACACAGAGGAUCGGGAGAGCAGGCCUCCGGAACCACGCCCGGGCCUGUGACACCUGCUCGGGUGUGCCGAGCGAUCAGGUUUUUGGGGAGCGUAUCACGGCGCGACUGCUCGCUCUUUCCCGGCGAUCGCGAUCUUCAUCGACUCCUCUUCGCGCGCCUGAUCUACGACAGCAAUCGGCUGCGCGUUCCUCCUGCAUCGGCUGCACGCAUUCCUGCAUUGGUUGCGUGUUCGUACGAGGGACUGCACUGCGAACCUCGUCCUGCACCGAAUUUGUACGACGACUUCAAGCAACGUACCAUGGCAACUGGUGCGAAUGGAGCCGCCGGUGCCUUCGGCACUGGUCCCUCCGCAGGGUACAUUCUGAUCCUAUUUCUAUUUAUCGGUUUUCUUGUGAUGUUAACUGGUAACGUAGAAAAUGCGAAAACUAUCAUCACAUAUUUGCUGCUAUUUUCCCGAUUAAUAUGGAUUAAAUUUAACAUGAAUAUGCCUAAAUUUCUAACAAUCCAAAAACCUGAUCGGCAUUUUUCUGUUAGUGGUUUUGCUGCUGCGUUGAAACUGGAACCGUUUGAUGGCUCGUUUUAUAAGAGGUGGAGGUCUCGGAUGAUACUGUGGUUGAUAGCGAUGAACUGCUACCAGGUUGCACAGGGGAAGCCUGAACAGUACACUCCUGAGGAGGAGAGUCGGUUCGAGGCAGCCGAUAACCUAUUUCGAGGCGGUGUGAUAAGCGCUCUUGCUGAAAAAUAUGUUGAUUCCUACCUCUCUUUUAAAACUAGGAAGGAAUUAUGGGAUGCAUUGGAUGAAAAAUUUGGUGUUUCUAAUGCUGGGAGUGAGUUGUAUCUCAUGGAGCAGCUUUACGACUAGAAGAUGGUAGGGGACCGUCCUGUUGUUGAACAAGCUCAUGAGAUACAAGUUCUGGCAAAGGAACUCGAACAAAUGGACAAGACCCGUCCAUGCGCGUUGCCUGACAAGUUUGUGGCUGGCGGUAUCAUCGCUAAGCUGCCACCUUCUUGGAAGGAUUUUGCUACUUCUCUAAAGCACAAGAGGCAAGAGUUCAGCGUGGCUGAUCUCAUUGGGACUCUUGAUGUUGAGGAGAGGGCGAGAGCAAAGGAUACGCGCGGGAAAGGCGUCGAGUCUUUUAGUGCCAAUGUGGUGCAGAAGAAAAAUUCCAAUGCAUCUCAUAAUAAAAGGAAGAAGCAGGAGAAGAAAGAUAAGCCAAAGCAAACAACCAUGUUCAAGAAGUAAAAGGGCAAGAAAAAGAAUGAGGGCUGUUUUGUUUGCGGGAGCACUGAGCAGUGGGCAAGUGCGUGCCCAGGCAAAUAUGUUCAGCCAAAGAAAUCAGCAAACAUGGUGAUUAGCGAGGCUGCAGGAACAUAGGGGCCGGCGUGACAGGAGAUUUGUUGAUGGGGAACGGAUCGCAUGCGUGUGUUCUUGGUGUUGGUAUGGUAAAUCUGAAGUUUGCUUCGGGGAAGACCGUGCAGCUGAAGAACAUACAGCAUAUCCCCUCCAUCAAGAAAAAUCUAGUUAGCGGCUCUCUACUGUGUAGAGAUGGUUUUAAAAUAGUUCUUGAGUCGAAAUAAAUGUGUACUUUCUAAGUAUGGGACAUUUGUUGCAAAAAGCUAUGUGUGCGGAGGCUUGUUCUGCUUUUCUUUGCAUGAUGAUGGCUGUAAUAAUGUGGCGAACAAUGUUUUAAUUUCGAAUGAGUCGAAUAUUUGGCAUUCACGGCUUUGUCAUGUAAAUUUCGGUUGUAUGUCGCGGUUAGCAAA
Molecule: long non-coding RNA, 2129 nt
Organism: Panicum virgatum (switchgrass)
Lineage: Eukaryota; Viridiplantae; Streptophyta; Magnoliopsida; Poales; Poaceae
Exons: 2
Source: RefSeq, a predicted model, not a curated record